This 507-nucleotide ribosomal RNA is filed under the name uncultured bacterium. Its description in RNAcentral is "bacterial SSU rRNA". It matches the Rfam family "Bacterial small subunit ribosomal RNA", at positions 19 to 518 of the family's 1533-position model. The record is from RNAcentral.
AUGGCUCAGGAUGAACGCUAGCUACAGGCUUAACACAUGCAAGUCGAGGGGCAUCAUUGGGAUAGCUUGCUAUUCAGAUGGCGACCGGCGCACGGGUGAGUAACGCGUAUCCGACCUCCCCUUAGUAGGGCAUAGCCGGCGAAAGUCGGAUUAAUACCCUAUGUUGUAUAUUGAGGACAUCUGAUUUAUACCAAAGAUUCAUCGCUAAGGGAUGGGGAUGCGUCCGAUUAGGUAGUCGGCGGGGCAACGGCCCACCGAGCCGUCGAUCGGUAGGGGUUCUGAGAGGAAGGUCCCCCACACUGGUACUGAGACACGGACCAGACUCCUACGGGAGGCAGCAGUGAGGAAUAUUGGUCAAUGGGCGAGAGCCUGAACCAGCCAAGUAGCGUGCAGGAAGACGGCCCUAUGGGUUGUAAACUGCUUUUAUCAGGGGAUAGAGUGAGGGACGUGUCCCUUAUUGCAGGUACCUGAUGAAUAAGGACCGGCUAAUUCCGUGCCAGCCGCCGC